Molecule: RNA transcript, 1669 nt
Organism: Myripristis murdjan (pinecone soldierfish)
Lineage: Eukaryota; Metazoa; Chordata; Actinopteri; Holocentriformes; Holocentridae
Gene: psmb9a
Gene name: proteasome 20S subunit beta 9a
Exons: 7
Source: RefSeq, a predicted model, not a curated record
GUUAAGUUUCAGUUUCGAUACUAUCCAAAAAAACAUGGAGUCCGUCUGAUGUGCGACAAAACUGAGUCGGUGAAGGAGUUGUAAAGACGUUUAAAGGCUGUAGAGAAGAUUUAGAAUAGCUAGAAAACAAUUCAAAACGUUUACGCGUCGAUUAAACCGCGCUGGUUUUAGCUUGGCUUUAGAUUUAUUUCCCUACCAGAGCAUCGCCUGCUGUCGCCACCUGAAUUCAGGCAGUGCUUCAACAUGUUGGAAGAAUCAGGACCCGAGUGGUUAUCUGAGGAGGUGAAAACCGGGACAACCAUCAUUGCCAUAGAAUAUAAUGGAGGAGUGGUGCUUGGAUCAGACUCGCGGGUGUCUGCAGGCGCCUCAGUGGUGAAUAGAGUGAUGAACAAACUUUCUCCUCUCCAUGACAAGAUCUACUGCGCUCUGUCAGGUUCUGCAGCAGACGCCCAGACCAUUGCAGAGAUAGUCAACUACCAGCUGGAUGUGCACAGUGCUGAGAUAGGUGAAGACCCCCAGGUUCGCUCAGCUGCCACCCUGGUGAAGAACAUCUCCUACAAAUACAAGGAGGAGCUGUCAGCGCAUCUCAUUGUGGCUGGCUGGGACAGAAGAGAAGGGGGGCAGGUGUUCGCGACCCUGAAUGGCCUCCUGACAAGGCAGCCUUUUGCAGUCGGUGGAUCUGGCAGUUCCUACGUCUACGGUUUUGUUGACGCAGAGUAUCGCAAAGGAAUGACAAAGGAAGAGUGCCAGAAGUUUGUUGUCAACACUCUCACUUUGGCAAUGAGUCGUGACGGCUCCAGUGGAGGCGUGGCCUACAUUGUCAGCAUAGAUGAACACAGCACAGAGGAGAAAGUGAUUCUGGGAAAUAAGUUACCAACCUUCUAUGACCAGUGAUCAACACAUGCAGUUUCUAAUUUCUAAAGUGUUGUGCAAAGAGUGCAAUUAGGUAUUUCUUUUCAUCAUAUAUGCCCAUGCUGUGACUUAGAAGCUUAUAGCAGCUGAUUCAUUCCUGCCUACCUGCAAAAAAAGCAAACACAUGUUUUUAAUAAAGAACAUUUCAUACAGGCAUUUGGCACCUGGUGGGUGGUUAUUUCAGACCUCUCAGUUGACUCUUGACAUAUUUAUGCAAUGUACCAGAGGGUGAGCAAUUUGCAGCACCACUGGAAGAUAUAUGGGUUUAUCAUCUUGCUCAAAGAUUAAGUCUUUGGUUGUGGACCACAUGACAAGUACUAAUACAAUUUGUGAAUUUAUAUAAAUGUAAAAUUAUAUAAAUACCAUGCAUAACAUGUUCAGCAUCUAACCUACUCUGAGCUCCUCUGUAGACUGGCUCAAGAACUCCUCAGCUUUCCCUGUAAUUCAACUGCGGUUGACUCUGUGGUAACCUGUCUGAGGAAAAACAUUCAGGUAGACUAAUCUUAUAGAGUAAGGGGCUGUAUAACAAAUUAAGAUGUUUAGGAAGUGACUAAUUUUCUCUACAGUUAACAGUGACUUUUUUUAUCCCAUCAUUAAACUUGCUCACUCAUUCACACUAGGCUUUUUACCAGACAGCUAAUUUAAAAACAGAUUAUAGACUGUAAUCUAUUCUAAACUGUAUGGGCAGUCAGUAGCCACCUUUUUCUCUGAUAGCUGCAAUUGCCUGUUUUGUGACAAUAAAUAAAUAAAACUCUGU